AUUGAACGCUGGCGGCAUGCUUUACACAUGCAAGUCGAGCGGCAGCGCGGGGGCAACCCUGGCGACGAGCGGCGAACGGGUGAGUAAUGCAUCGGAACGUAUCCUCGAGUGGGGGAUAACCCAGCGAAAGUUGGGCUAAUACCGCAUGAGCUCUGAGGAGGAAAGCGGGGGACCUGCGAGGGCCUCGCGCUGGAGGAGCGGCCGAUGUCCGAUUAGCUAGUUGGUGGGGUAAAGGCUUACCAAGGCGACGAUCGGUAGCUGGUCUGAGAGGAUGAUCAGCCACACUGGGACUGAGACACGGCCCAGACUCCUACGGGAGGCAGCAGUGGGGAAUUUUGGACAAUGGGGGCAACCCUGAUCCAGCCAUGCCGCGUGAGUGAAGAAGGCCUUCGGGUUGUAAAGCUCUUUCGGACGGAACGAAAUGGGCGGGACUAAUACUCCUGUCUGAUGACGGUACCGUAAGAAGAAGCACCGGCUAACUACGUG
This 486-nucleotide ribosomal RNA is filed under the name uncultured bacterium. Its description in RNAcentral is "partial 16S ribosomal RNA". It matches the Rfam family "Bacterial small subunit ribosomal RNA", at positions 29 to 507 of the family's 1533-position model. The record is from RNAcentral.